CCGUCGAUAGCUCAGUUGGCAGAGCGGUGGACUGUAGAUCCAUAGGUCAUUGGUUCGACUCCGGCUCGACGGA
This 73-nucleotide transfer RNA is filed under the name Stegodyphus dumicola. RNAcentral's name for it is "tRNA-Tyr". It matches the Rfam family "tRNA". From Rfam's summary of the family: Transfer RNA (tRNA) molecules are approximately 80 nucleotides in length. Their secondary structure includes four short double-helical elements and three loops (D, anti-codon, and T loops). Lineage: Eukaryota; Metazoa; Arthropoda; Arachnida; Araneae; Eresidae. The record is from RNAcentral.